RNAcentral lists this ribosomal RNA (403 nucleotides) under uncultured bacterium. Its description in RNAcentral is "partial 16S ribosomal RNA". It matches the Rfam family "Bacterial small subunit ribosomal RNA", at positions 28 to 526 of the family's 1533-position model. The record is from RNAcentral.
GACGAACGCUGGCGGCGUGCCUAAUACAUGCAAGUCGAACGCAGUAGGGACGGGUGAGUAACACGUGGGUAACCUCCCAACAGAGGGGAUAACACUUGGAAAAAGGCGCUCAUCCGCUACUGAUGGAUGGAACCGCGGUGCAUUAGCGAUUUGGUGAGGUAACGGCUAACCAAGGCCACGAUGCAUAGCCUGCCUGAGAGGUUGUGCGGCCACACUGGGCCUUAGACACGGUCCAGGCUGCUACGGUAGGCAGCGGUAGAGAAUCUUCGGCAAUGGACGAAAGUCUGACCAGGCAAGGCCGCGUGAGUGAAGAAGGUUUUCGGAUCUUAAAACUCUGUUAUUAGAGAAGCGGUACCUAACCAGAAAGGCACGGCUAACUACGUGCCAGCAGCCGCGGUAAUUC